UUCCAUUAGCCAUCCAACAAGUAGCAACAAGCAGAGCAUGACCAUUUAUUUCAAUUCAAACAAUUUGGGAGCUUCAUUCACUUACAUAAACCUUGAGGAAAGCAUAUUUUUGCAUUCACAAAUUAAUAGUUACAUACGUUUUGGAAGAUUAAAGAAACAAACUACGUUAUUCUUGAGGGAUUCAAAGGUAAACUUUGGAAAACAGAGGAGUAAUAGAGCCAGCAGCAGGCACCACCAUAUAUAACUCAAAAAUGUCCUUGAGAUAAAGCACAACCAAUUCUGAACUCUCAAGAAAGAACUCAUUUGCUUAUUUUCAGGGAUAACCAGCAACAAAACCAAGCAAAAUAUCCGACGUGGGCAAUCAGUGCAAGAAGCUGGGAGUUAAUCACAAACCAUAACGAAAGACAGUACUUUAACCCAUAUUUAGACUGUAUUCAAAGCAACCAAAAGUUUACACACAUGAUUAAAUCUUCAUUCUACUAUGUACAGGGACUGAUAAUCUGGUUCAGGCCUUCAUAAAGAGCAAUAACACCAACAGGAAUGCACAUGUACAUUAGGAAGCUAAUCUCACUAUAUUAUGGACUUAGUGACAUGCUUACAGUAAAAUUCUCACAAUGAUCCAGAUUCAUACCAAACUUUUAAAUCAACCAAGAUAUUCAGUCAAACAUGGUAUGGUGUUCUUUCAACCAAGCUAACAAACAUCAGUGAGCUUCAUUAGGCCUAAGAGUGACGACGACAUAACAACAACAACAACAACAACAACAACAACAACUACUACUACCCAGUAUACUCCCCAGGUGGGGUCUGGGGAGGGUAAUAUGUAGACGAGUCUUACCCCUAAGAGUGACGACGACAUAUUUCCAUUUUUUUAGAUCCUAUAUAACUGCAUUAUUAAAGCUAAAAUACUCUAUAAGGUAAUCUCAAGUGAGGGAAAUAGUAACAUAGGCAAUGAUAUUCCUUGAACGAGAGGAUAGAAAGUUUAUGAGCACAGAUAUGGAAAGCCAACAAAAUUCAACCAAACUUAUAUACAAGGAGACUUCUACCAUAUUUCAUGGUUAGCUCAGCUUUACAUAACUGAACCUCAAACUUUAAUUUUAAAUCCAAAGAAUGGAAAUCAACCGACUCGAAGCAAGGUUUUAGCUACAGAAUAGACAUAACUCGACAGACUUUACCAAAUUUAAAUCCAAACAAUGGCAAUCAAAAGACUCGAACCAAGGUUUCAGCUAUAGAAUAGACAUAACUUGACAAACUUUACCAAAAAUCUCAACUAGUCACAAAUCGAUAAGAAACUACAUUCGACCUCACUGAUAAAGCUCAAAUGACAGCAAAAAUGGAGUACAAACUCAGAAAUUUCAUAGCUUAAGAACAACCAAAAAUAGAGUUACAUGGUGAAAAAAAAUCAAACCUGAAGUCGCAAACUUCUGUUAAUAAUCACAGCCUUAAUAAUAUGUCUUUCGCCUUCGAAUACUAGCGAGGUUGAGCAGCAACUCAACAGAACAACAACAGUAAACCCAAGCUUGAACUUCAAUUCAGUUUUUCAUCUCUUUGGAACUCUGAGAUGGACUCAAAUGAUAAAAAAAAUGUGUAUCCUUCUCUUAACCUUUGAAAGAAAUAUUCAGAAAAAGAAAUUGAAAUCAGAAAACCAGGAGUUUUUAGAAACCUUUCGUCUUUUCUCUCCAAUUUUUUUUUACCCGAUUCCCCCUCAAGAAAUUGGAUAAGGCUUGUUUUGAAGACGAAUCCUUGAUGAAUUUAGGGCUCGGAUCGAGUGAAAUCAACCAACGCCUCACACUCAUCCAGCAUAUCGUCGCCAAAACUUUCCAAUCGUGAGAUAAAACUCGAAUUCGGGUGAGUUAGAGGGGAUGGGAAUCAUGGCGUAAAACAAUGUUCGCAAUGGCAAUAUGAGAGAAGGAGGGACGCGUGGGCUAGGGAUUUGGGAUUCACGCGCCCGGAUUUGGACUGAAUUGGGGCUUGGUUCAAGUGAGGACGAUACUAGAACAGUGUUCGUUUGGGAUUUAGGGCUUGGGG
Molecule: long non-coding RNA, 2025 nt
Filed under: Nicotiana benthamiana
Lineage: Eukaryota; Viridiplantae; Streptophyta; Magnoliopsida; Solanales; Solanaceae
Description: long non-coding RNA (NBEN_LNC037977)
Source: RNAcentral